AGUGAACGCUGGCGGUAGGCCUAACACAUGCAAGUCGAACGGCAGCACAGUAAGAGCUUGCUCUUACGGGUGGCGAGUGGCGGACGGGUGAGGAAUACAUCGGAAUCUACUUUUUCGUGGGGGAUAACGUAGGGAAACUUACGCUAAUACCGCAUACGACCUACGGGUGAAAGCAGGGGAUCUUCGGACCUUGCGCGAUUGAAUGAGCCGAUGUCGGAUUAGCUAGUUGGCGGGGUAAAGGCCCACCAAGGCGACGAUCCGUAGCUGGUCUGAGAGGAUGAUCAGCCACACUGGAACUGAGACACGGUCCAGACUCCUACGGGAGGCAGCAGUGGGGAAUAUUGGACAAUGGGUGCAAGCCUGAUCCAGCCAUACCGCGUGGGUGAAGAAGGCCUUCGGGUUGUAAAGCCCUUUUGUUGGGAAAGAAAAGCAGCAGGUUAAUACCCCGCUGUUCUGACGGUACCCAAAGAAUAAGCACCGGCUAACUUCGU
RNAcentral lists this ribosomal RNA (491 nucleotides) under uncultured bacterium. RNAcentral's name for it is "partial 16S ribosomal RNA". It matches the Rfam family "Bacterial small subunit ribosomal RNA", at positions 29 to 506 of the family's 1533-position model. The record is from RNAcentral.